AAACUCUCUCUCUCUCUCUCUCUCUCUCUCUCUGUUUCUACACUCUCAACCAGAAGCAAAAGACCAGGAUUUUGAAAUCGAAAGCAACCCUUGUCCAAAUCACAGCGCUUCACAUUCCCCCCCGUCUUCUCUCUCUCUCAACUAUGAGUACAUCGGCCUCGACACACCCCCAGCCCCAGGCGUCAACGGAAACCCCCGAGAACGCCACCCUUUCGCAGAUCAUUCGGCCCCUCGAACCGAAAUCGAAAUCGCAAUCAACAGCCUUCAACAGGGUCAUGCAGGCCCUCACCGCGCGCGACGAGGCCAUCAGGAGAGAGACCUCGUACUGGAAGACCCAGUACGAGGUAAUGGAGAAGAAACACGGCGAGGCGGCCCUCGAAAAGCUGAUCGCGCUCGACGAGCUAGCCAAGUGCAUGCGCCUGCUUGGAAAAAACCAAGUCCCAAACGCCGGGAUCGGCCAGCGCGUGUUAAUAGAACGGGCGGAGGAGGAUUUCGACAAGGCGGAGAAGGAGAAUGCGAAGCUGAGCUGUAAGUCCGAGAACUCUAAGGUCUCGGCGUUGGAGUCCGAGAAGGAGAAGGCGGAGCGGAGCUGCAAGGUAUCCGCGUCGGAGUCCGAGAAGGAGAAGGCGGAGGAGGGUGAUAAGAGGCGGUUCGAGGAGUUGAACGGGAGGGUAUCAAGCCCUAGACAUCCGAAACCGGUUUACGGGCCGCCGUCUGGUCCAAGCUUUCCGGAUGUCUUCGACCGUCAGCAUCAGUUGGGAAAACAGCUUGAGGCAUUUCAAAUGGAGCAACGUGAAUUUCGGGAUGAGACUAGAAUUCGGUUUGACCGCAUCGAUGAAAGCUUGCAAAACCUCACGAACUACUUCUCUGCCUAUCCGCCUCCAACAAAAACGAACAAGGGAUCUCCGGUUAUCAUCGGGAUAUAUGACAGUGAUGACGAGAUGCCCUCCAGAAAAAGAGGUUCAUGCAAUGAUGACGAUGACGGUUUGAAACCAACUAAGAAAUGUCACGCAAAUUCAUUUCAAGAGGUGAUGAACAUCCCUGAUGAUUCAGAUUCUGACCAAUUUGAUGCACUCAGGUAUGACCAGUGGCGACUCUAGGAUUUUGGUAACAUGGGUCAUUCAUAAGCAUAAAUUCUCUUACCAAUUAUGAAUAAAAAAAUCAAUAUUAAUGACAAUUGAUAACAACUUUCAACAGAAAACGCAUCAAAAGUUCAACAAGCUUUUCAACUAAAAAAUAAAUGAUAUCAAAAUGUUAUGUACUAAUAAUCUUCUUUUUAGUUUCACCAAAAAAAAAACUCAAGAACUUCUACAAUUGAAUUCAACAGGUUUCAGCAAGGGGUGCCCCAACACCACACAUUUUUGUGGAGUCCAUACACUUAGCGGUUGACUCCACGGAAUUGUCUAGUGUUUAGGAGUAAUAGUUUUUCUACAAAGGGAGAGGUGAGUUUCAAGUGAGGAAGUAAUGUCAUGGGGUGGUGUUUCAUGUUUUAACUUUUACAGAGGAGAGGGUGGAUUUCAAGUGGGGAAAUAAUCUAGUGUGGUCAUCAAAUUGUAAUGGGGUGGAAUAACCUUUGACCCUUUUCCCCUUCUGUUUGAACGGUGGAACAGAACGGUGGAGGAAUAGAACGGUGAGCUGGGUACCUGAAAACCGAAGGGGGAUGUACCUCCGGAAAUAAGCUCUGACAAGCAAGUUAGUAUGUGGAAGAAGAGAGUAUAAGAGCUUUUGAGAGAGAGAAUGAGGAAGAAGAUCCCCCACCUGGAGGGGUAGUCCACUAUUUAUAGGCAAACUUUGGAGUGUUGAACAAGUAGGCUGUAUGUCCAUGUGCAUUGUACUGUUGGGUUGACGUCAUGUGUCAGUCAUUAAAUGAGCGCCGCUUCCCAGGGUCAGCAGAGCCGCACAAGCUAAUGUCGGGGAUGUCACUUCAAGAAGACCGUUGAACAUCCACAGACGAGUCUUACUCCCUAAGUUACAGACUCAGCCGAACGAUUAUAUUGCACCGAGUGCUGUCACAUUACCCGAAUAACAGGAAGACAUGCCGAGCGAUGCACAUAAGGGACAGAGGAAACGUUCGGCCGAGUAGCUGAGGUUCGGCAAACGUUCAACAAAACAGCGGAGGGUCUUUCCGUGGCACGCCCUGACUUACAUACAAAUUGAGACAACUGGACAGUGGGUCCCAACCCGUGACCCCUUUGAACUCUCCGAACCGUGGUUAUUUCAGCCCACUACAGGUGGUGUUUCAUGUUUUAACUUCGGAUGAGGGGGUGGAUUUCAAGUGGGGAAAUAAUCUAGUGUGGUGGAAUCAUCAAAUUUUCAUGGUGUCAUUUAAUUUC
This is an RNA transcript of Rhododendron vialii, 2333 nucleotides long. RefSeq lists it as uncharacterized. Lineage: Eukaryota; Viridiplantae; Streptophyta; Magnoliopsida; Ericales; Ericaceae. The transcript has 3 exons. The record is from RefSeq and is a predicted model, not a curated record.